AUGGCAAAAUUCUGGUGGAGCAUUUCGAUCGACCAUCGUUCCAUGCAUUGGAUAGAUUGGAAGUCUUUGUCACUUCCAAAGAUAAGAGGAGGAAUGGGAUUCCGUGAUCUCGAAUGUUUCAAUGUGGCUUUGUUGGGAAAUCAUGGUUGGAGACUGAUUACAAGCCCGAAUGCUUUAUGCUCAAGGGUGCUAAAAGGUCGGUACUUCCCAAUGACAGAUUUCAUGCAUGCUACUGUUCCGCGCAACUCUUCGGCUACCUGGAGAGCGAUAGUUGUUGGGAGAGCAGCAUUGGACACUGGACUACUAAAGAGGAUCGGGGAUGGUUCCUCGGUAAGAAUUUGGGAAGAUAGAUGGCAUCCA
Molecule: ribosomal RNA, 360 nt
Filed under: Triticum aestivum (bread wheat)
Lineage: Eukaryota; Viridiplantae; Streptophyta; Magnoliopsida; Poales; Poaceae
Description: partial small subunit ribosomal RNA
Source: RNAcentral